Molecule: transfer RNA, 78 nt
Filed under: Acidobacteriota bacterium
Lineage: Bacteria; Pseudomonadati; Acidobacteriota
Also listed under: 2 other names
Description: Acidobacteria bacterium tRNA-Arg
Rfam family: tRNA
About the family: Transfer RNA (tRNA) molecules are approximately 80 nucleotides in length. Their secondary structure includes four short double-helical elements and three loops (D, anti-codon, and T loops).
Source: RNAcentral
GUCCCCGUAGCUCAGUUGGACUAGAGCAACAGCCUUCUAAGCUGUGGGUCGCAGGUUCGAAUCCUGCCGGGGACGCCA